This 100-nucleotide signal recognition particle RNA is filed under the name Rhodospirillaceae bacterium. RNAcentral describes it as "signal recognition particle sRNA small type". It matches the Rfam family "Bacterial small signal recognition particle RNA". From Rfam's summary of the family: The signal recognition particle (SRP) is a universally conserved ribonucleoprotein involved in the co-translational targeting of proteins to membranes. Archaeal SRP consists of a 7S RNA and homologues of the eukaryotic SRP19 and SRP54 proteins. The record is from RNAcentral. Lineage: Bacteria; Pseudomonadati; Pseudomonadota; Alphaproteobacteria; Rhodospirillales; Rhodospirillaceae.
GGGAGGCUGGCAGUGGACGAAUCUUGUGCCAACUCGGCCAGGUUCGAAAGAAAGCAACCGUACGCACGCUUAGAUUCGGGUUAUUGUUUGGCCUCCCACA